UAAACUAGUUAAGAUGAUGAAGCAUUAGGCCAAAUUUUUAUAGAAUUGAAUCGUAUCAAUCUUGGUUCUUUUUCUUUCAGCUCUCAAUUAUUUUGAUAACGUUACGCAUUUUAGGCAAGUUAAUUUGAAUUGACAGCAUUAAAGAAAUAAAAUGAACAACCAGGAAAUUGAAAUGAUUAUUCUGGAACAAUACAAAAAAUACAAAGCAUGCAUAAUUCGAUGAAAGAUGGUAAAUGAUAUUUAGUCUUGCUUUUAAA
Long non-coding RNA from Octopus bimaculoides (California two-spot octopus), 257 nucleotides. NCBI's taxonomy places the organism in Eukaryota, Metazoa, Mollusca, Cephalopoda, Octopoda, Octopodidae. The record is from RefSeq and is a predicted model, not a curated record.